GUCUACAGUCAUGCCAUCUUGAACAAGCCUGAUCCCAUCUUAUCUCAGAAGAUAAGCAGGGUCGGGCCUGGUUAGUACUUGGAUGGGAGACACCUAGGAAGACCAGGUGCUGUAGGCA
RNAcentral lists this ribosomal RNA (118 nucleotides) under Pteropus alecto (black flying fox). The record is from RNAcentral. Lineage: Eukaryota; Metazoa; Chordata; Mammalia; Chiroptera; Pteropodidae.